AAAAGACACAUAUGUUGAACCAUCACCUGAGUAAACUUUGGGGUCUGACAGCUACUGAAGUCAUCGACCCAAUAAGUUUCCGCAGUGGAAGAUACACAGCCUGGAGACUGACCAUGGAUGGAUUCAGGAACAGGUUGAAGAUCUAAGAAAACAUGCAUGUGGAGCCAUCACCUGAGUAACCAUUGGGGUCUGACAGCUACUUACGGAAGACAUCAUACACAAUAGCAUUCUGCACACAACAACAAAAAAAAAAAGACAAAAAUAAAAUAAUAUAUACCUAAA
Long non-coding RNA from Pelobates fuscus (common spadefoot toad), 282 nucleotides. RefSeq lists it as uncharacterized. The transcript has 3 exons. The record is from RefSeq and is a predicted model, not a curated record. Lineage: Eukaryota; Metazoa; Chordata; Amphibia; Anura; Pelobatidae.